AACCAUAGAAACCUGCGGAGUACCUGCGGAAGGAUCAUUACCGAGUGCGGGUCCGCGUGGCCCAACCUCCCACCCGUGCCUAUUGUACCCUGUUGCUUCGGCGGGCCCGCCAGCCUUCGGGCUGGCCGCCGGGGGGCGUCUCGCCCCCGGGCCCGUGCCCGCCGGAGACCCCAACAUGAACCCUGUUCUGAAAGCUUGGUGUCUGAGUGUGAUUGUUUGCAAUCAGUUAAAACUUUUAAC
This 240-nucleotide unclassified non-coding RNA is filed under the name soil metagenome. RNAcentral's name for it is "partial contains 5.8S ribosomal RNA, internal transcribed spacer 2, and large subunit ribosomal RNA". The record is from RNAcentral.